GUUUUGAUAGUUUAAAAUAAAACCAUGGUCUUGUAAACCAUAAAUGAAUCCAUUCUCAAAACU
Molecule: transfer RNA, 63 nt
Filed under: Nothopuga sp. 1 LP-2008
Lineage: Eukaryota; Metazoa; Arthropoda; Arachnida; Solifugae; Ammotrechidae
Description: tRNA-Thr
Rfam family: tRNA
About the family: Transfer RNA (tRNA) molecules are approximately 80 nucleotides in length. Their secondary structure includes four short double-helical elements and three loops (D, anti-codon, and T loops).
Source: RNAcentral